GUUAAAGUUGUUGGGAUCCUAGCCGUUAGCAGAUAAGUCUUGCUGCUAGGGUUCCUAGUUGUUAGGGUUUCUAACCACGUAGGAGUCUAAUAAAGUCCUAGUCUUAAGGGACACGCUGAAUGUUUGUUUUCCAAGUAGUCGUUACCACGAUUGUAGGUCCUGUAAAAUCGUGGGCAGUUUCAUUUACCUUCUGAUAAGUUGUAAGGCUAUUUAAUGGCCGGUGUUGAUGCUUUCAAUAAUGAGAAUUCUCCCUGGUUGUUUAUGCAAGCUUUCGAACUUGGUUUUACUGUGAUUCUUUGCUAGGUUCUAGGUUCUAACAUCUGGUAUCAGAGCCCCACUACGGGGCCUGAUCGAAAGCUUGUAACCCAGGUGUUCGAGUGAAAAGAAACAAAACAUGGCGUCUGAAAACAGUUUCGUACAACCAGCCAUUCCAAGGUUUGACGGACACUAUGAUCAUUGGAGUAUGCUUAUGGAGAACUUUCUCCGUUCCAAAGAGUACUGGAACUUGGUGGAACUUGGGAUCACUGCUGCAGCAGGAGGAUCGGAUUCCAGUGAAGUACAGAAGAAGAUCGUAGAUGAACUAAAGUUGAAGGACUUGAAGGCCAAGAACUAUUUGUUCCAAGCCAUAGAUAGGUCAAUAUUGGAGACCAUUCUGAAGAAGGACACCGCAAAAGACAUAUGGGACUCCUUGAAACAGAAGUAUCAAGGAACUGCACGUGUGAAACGGGCUCAACUGCAGGCCCUUCGCAAGGAAUUCGAAGUGCUGCACAUGAAGAAUGGAGAAACAGUCAAUGACUAUUUCGGGAGAACACUUGCCAUAGCCAACAAGAUGAGAACCCACGGAGAGAAGAUGGAUGAUGUAGUGAUCAUCGAGAAAAUUUUGAGGUCCAUGACCUCGAAAUAUGACUAUGUCGUGUGCUCAGUUGAGGAAUCAAAUGACCUAGACACUAUGUCUAUAGAUGAACUCCAGAGUAGCCUUCUGGUGCAUGAACAAAGGAUAAGCCGCCAUGUGGAGGAAGAACAGGCGCUUCAAGUUACUCAUAGAGUCCAGCAAGAAGGACGUGGUCGUGGAACUUAUCGUGGCAGAGGAAGAGGACGAGGAAGGCUAGGGUUCGAUAAGUCAACCCUAGAGUGCUAUCACUGCCAUGACCUAGGGCAUUUUCAGUGGGAGUGCCCUAAGAAAUCUAAGGAGGAAAAGGCAAACUACGUAGAAACAAAGGAAGAAAUGCUGUUAAUGGCACUUGUGGAAUUCAAGGGGAUGGAGCACACAUGGUUUCUUGACUCAGGAUGCAGCAAUCACAUGUGUGGAAGGAUGGAUUUGUUCAGCGAGUUUGACAAUAGCUUCAAAGAAUCAGUGAAACUUGGAAAUGAUUCAAGCCUGACUGUGCAAGGCAAAGGAAGUGUACGAAUGGAGGUAGAUGGACGUAUACAUGUGAUCACAGGUGUGUUCUAUGUACCAGACUUAAAGAAUAAUUUGCUAAGUAUCGGUCAGCUGCAGGAGAAGGGGCUCACAGUUCUCAUUCAACAAGGAAGGUGCAAGAUCUUUCAUUUUGAAAAAGGUCUAAUCAUGGAGACUAAGAUGAGCACCAACAGAAUGUUUGCAGUGGUGGCUCGCAGUCCUGAAGAGCAGAAGUGUCUCUCCUCUCAAACAACUGAUCAAGCACAGCUGUGGCAUCAUCGCUAUGGGCACCUCAGUUGGCAUGGGCUCAAGGUGCUUCAGCAGAAGAAAAUGGUGAAGGGACUACCUCAGUUCGCAGCAUCUCAAAAGGUGUGUGAAGAUUGCUUGGUAGGCAGGCAACAGCGAGAUCCAUUUCCAAAAGAAAGCAUGUGGAGAGCCUCUGAGGCACUUCAAUUAGUACAUGCUGACAUAUGCGGACCCAUCAAUCCAAUCUCAAACAGCAACAAAAGGUAUCUUAUCACCUUCAUAGAUGAUUUCAGCAGGAAAAUAUGGGUCUACUUCUUGGCAGAGAAGUCAGAAGCAUUUGGCAUGUUCAAAGCUUACAAAGCACGGGUAGAAAAAGAAACUGGGGCAUUCAUCAGAAGUUUGAGGACAGAUCGAGGAGGCGAGUUCACCUCGCAUGAGUUUGCAAGCUUCUGUCGUGAGAAUGGGAUACAUAGGCAGUUAACUACGGCCUACACCCCUCAACAGAACGGAGUGGCGGAAAGAAAGAAUCGCACCAUUAUGAACAUGGUGCGGAGCAUGUUAUCUGCCAAACAAAUUCCAAAAAGCUUCUGGCCUGAAGCAACAAAUUGGGCUGUACAUGUGUUAAAUCGAUGUCCUACCCUUGCCGUGAAGAACAAGACACCUGAAGAAGCAUGGAAUGGACGCAAACCUUCUGUGGAUCACUUCAGAAUUUUUGGAUGCAUUGCUCAUGCUCAUGUACCUGAUCACAAGAGGGUGAAGCUCGAUGCCAAGAGCUGUAAAAGCAUUUUGCUUGGGGUAAGUGAAGAAUCUAAGGCUUAUCGACUAUAUGAACCCGUUUCUCAGAAAAUUGUUAUAAGCCGAGAUGUGGUGUUUGAAGAGGAUCAGCAAUGGAGUUGGGGUGACAACUACAAGGACGUGAUAGUGGCAGACCUAGAGUGGAAUGCUGAUGAGGAAAUUAGCAGCCCACGAGUGACGAGUGAUCCAGGGUUUGAUAGCAAUGACGUUGGAGACGAACCAGAAUCUGAGUCUGAGUACGAGGGCACGAUGGUUGGAGAAGGGAGUCAAAGUGAUGAAACCUCACCUCAUGAGGGACGAACUCGAAGACCACCAAUAUGGAUGAGGGAUUAUGAGACAGGUCAAGGAUUAUCUGAUGAAGAGAUUGAUGGAAUGGCUCAUUUGGCCUUAUUCAUUGAUCGAGAUCCCACAACCUACGAAGACGCGGUGAAGUCAGAGAAAUGACGACAUGCUAUGGAUCAGGAGAUACAAUCCAUUGAGAAGAACGAUACAUGGGAACUGGUAAAGUUGCCACCAGGAGGAAAAACUAUUGGGGUGAAGUGGGUGUUUAAGACAAAGCUCAAGGAGAAUGGAGAAGUGGAUAAGUACAAGGCUCGAUUGGUUGCUAAGGGUUACUGUCAACAAUAUGGGAUUGAUUACGCAGAGGUGUUCGCACCAGUGGCCCGUUUAGACACCAUUCGGGUAGUAAUCUCUCUUGCUGCACAAAAGAACUGGGGGAUCUAUCAACUCGAUGUUAAGUCCGCAUUUUUGCAUGGGGAGAUAGAAGAAGAAGUGUUCGUCGAUCAGCCACCUGGAUAUGAGCAGAAGGGGCAUGAAUCAAAGGUGUACCGACUCAAAAAGGCGUUGUAUGGACUUAAGCAGACCCCUCGAGCCUGGUAUAGUCGCAUAGAGUCAUAUUUCAUCGAAGAAGGCUUCAACAAAUGCCCUCACGAGUAUACCUUGUUCAUCAAGACAGCACGAGAAGGUAAGAUCUUGAUAGCAUGCCUUUAUGUUGAUGAUCUUAUUUUCACUGGUAAUGAUGAAACAAUGUUUGAGAAAUUUAAGAAGUCUAUGACUGCUGAGUUUGACAUGACUGAUCUCGGAAAAAUGAGAUACUUCCUUGGUAUCGAAGUUAUACAAAGAUCUGAUGGAAUUUUUAUCGGACAAAGGAAGUAUGCUCAAGAGGUCCUGGAGAAAUUUAACAUGGACCAGUGUAAUCCAGUACAAAAUCCAGUGGUGCCUGGUUUAAAACUCACAAGGAAUGGAGGAGUAGAAGUUGACAGCACUGUCUAUAGACAGAUGGUGGGAAAUCUCAUGUAUCUAACAGCUACGAGACCUGAUUUAAUGUUUGUUGUGAGCUUGAUCAUCCGAUACAUGGAGCGUCCAACUGAGGAACACUUACAGGUAGCAAAAAAGGUUCUUAGAUACGUUAAAGGGACGGUUGACCUGGGGAUAUUCUACAAGAAGGGAGGAACUGAAGAACUCACUGGAUACACCGAUAGCGACUACGCAGGUGAUCAAGAUGACAGGAAGAGCACCUCAGGUUAUGUGUUUAUGAUGAGUUCGGGAGCUGUCUCUUGGUCCUCAAAGAAACAGCCAGUUGUUACUCUAUCCACUACUGAGGCAGAGUUCAUAGCUGCUGCAUCGAGUGCAUGCCAAGUUGUUUGGUUAAGAAGAAUCAUGGAGAGUCUUAAUCAGGAGCAAUAUGGUCCAACCUUAGUGUAUUGUGAUAAUGUUUCGGCUAUCAAACUGUCAAAGAAUCUUGUACUGCACGGUCGAAGCAAGCAUAUUGAUAUAAGGUUUCAUUUCCUUCGUGACCUGGUCAAGGAUGGAGUGUUAGAGCUGGCACAGUGUUCAUCGCAAGAACAAGUUGCAGAUGUGUUAACUAAACCUCUGAAGGUUGACACUUUUCUAAAGAUGCGAGAACUGAUGGGUGUCUGCAAGUUUCCAGGGAUAAACUGAACAUCUGUAGUGUUCAGUUUAAGGGAGGAUGUUAAAGUUGUUGGGAUCCUAGCCGUUAGCAGAUAAGUCUUGCUGCUAGGGUUCCUAGUUGUUAGGGUUUCUAACCACGUAGGAGUCUAAUAAAGUCCUAGUCUUAAGGGACACGCUGAAUGUUUGUUUUCCAAGUAGUCGUUACCACGAUUGUAGGUCCUGUAAAAUCGUGGGCAGUUUCAUUUACCUUCUGAUAAGUUG
RNAcentral lists this long non-coding RNA (4612 nucleotides) under Malus domestica (apple). Its description in RNAcentral is "long non-coding RNA (MDOM_LNC000984)". Lineage: Eukaryota; Viridiplantae; Streptophyta; Magnoliopsida; Rosales; Rosaceae. The record is from RNAcentral.